This 233-nucleotide ribosomal RNA is filed under the name uncultured Actinomycetales bacterium. RNAcentral's name for it is "partial 16S ribosomal RNA". It matches the Rfam family "Bacterial small subunit ribosomal RNA", at positions 97 to 334 of the family's 1533-position model. Lineage: Bacteria; Bacillati; Actinomycetota; Actinomycetes; Actinomycetales. The record is from RNAcentral.
GGCGAACGGGUGAGUAACACGUGGGUGAUCUGCCCUGCACUCUGGGAUAAGCCUGGGAAACUGGGUCUAAUACCGGAUAGGGCCAUGCUUUAGUGUGCGUGGUGGAAAGUUUUUCGGUGUAGGAUGAGCCCGCGGCCUAUCAGCUUGUUGGUGGGGUAAUGGCCUACCAAGGCGGCGACGGGUAGCCGGACUGAGAGGUUGGUCGGCCACAUUGGGACUGAGAUACGGCCCAG